GUUGUCGCGCCAGCGGCAGUGCAGCAUAGCUAUGUACGGACGGGAUAACCGCUGAAGGCAUCUAAGCGGGAAACCCACCUCAAAACGAGUAUUCCCUUGAGAACCGUGGAAGACGACCACGUUGAUAGGCCGGGUGUGGAAGUGCGGCAACGCAUGCAGCUUACCGGUACUAAUCGUUCGAUUGGCUUGAUUGC
RNAcentral lists this ribosomal RNA (194 nucleotides) under Hyphomicrobium denitrificans. RNAcentral describes it as "partial 23S ribosomal RNA". It matches the Rfam family "Bacterial large subunit ribosomal RNA", at positions 2720 to 2925 of the family's 2925-position model. The record is from RNAcentral. Lineage: Bacteria; Pseudomonadati; Pseudomonadota; Alphaproteobacteria; Hyphomicrobiales; Hyphomicrobiaceae.